RNAcentral lists this ribosomal RNA (253 nucleotides) under uncultured bacterium. RNAcentral's name for it is "partial 16S ribosomal RNA". It matches the Rfam family "Bacterial small subunit ribosomal RNA", at positions 524 to 776 of the family's 1533-position model. The record is from RNAcentral.
UACGUAGGGGGCAAGCGUUGUCCGGAUUUAUUGGGCGUAAAGAGCGUGUAGGCGGCCAGACAGGUCCGUUGUGAAAACUCGAGGCUCAACCUCGAGACGUCGAUGGAAACCGUUUGGCUAGAGUCCGGAAGAGGAGAGUGGAAUUCCUGGUGUAGCGGUGAAAUGCGCAGAUAUCAGGAAGAACACCCGUGGCGUAGGCGGCUCUCUGGGACGGUACUGACGCUGAGACGCGAAAGCGUGGGGAGCGAACAGG